Molecule: long non-coding RNA, 857 nt
Organism: Populus nigra (black poplar)
Lineage: Eukaryota; Viridiplantae; Streptophyta; Magnoliopsida; Malpighiales; Salicaceae
Exons: 2
Source: RefSeq, a predicted model, not a curated record
AUCGCAGAAUGAACAGUACCUAAUGAAUUAAAAUGAGAGCGGGGGAAGACAGAAGACUUACCUGUUUUGCAGAGAAUUUGCGCAAGACUGCAGAUGCUGGGCGAGGUUCCUGUAUUCAAGCUCUCGCCUGGAUCUUCCUUCUCUGCCCCAACCUACGUCUCUCCUCCUGAUAAGCAUGGCUUGGGGAGUUAGUUUCCUGCUAAGACUCCGACGCCAACAGUAUGCCUGGACUGUUGGUGGUAGACUUUGGCCCGGAUUCCAGUAGCGUGUCCGGGAGGAAGUCUGCUUGGAUUGAGGACCUUGGUAGGCUAAAUUUGGCUUGUGAGGGGCUGCCCAUCUGGGCAGCUUUUUGUUUUUUUCUUCACCGGUGGCUUCCUCUGUUCCCAGAGGAAGACGACGAUGGAUGGGCGUGAAACGACACCGUUUCAGGGCGAAGGUAGCUGUUUUUCAAUUUGGUCCUCGAUGUUUUAACAUUUUUCAAUCGGACCCCUGGACCAAAUUGUAAUUAAACCCUGCAUUGCAGCGUCUUUUACACAACGGUCCUUGGACUUUAAUUUCUUGCAAUUUGGAGCUAAAUCAGCCCUGAAUUCUUAAUAUUUCUUCAAUUAAGCCCCUGAUUUCAUUAAUUAAACUAAUUCUAAGCACAAUUAAGUCCCCAAACUUAUGAAUUCUUUCUUUUUCUACCACACUUGGCUCCCAAACUUACAAUCCAUUAUGAUUAAAUUCUCAUGAUUUUCGAUUUGUGUUGUCUUGGCCCAAAACUCAAUUUUUCUUCAUUCAUUUUAUUUUUGUGAAUUUAUGUUGUAAAAAAUUGAGUUAUGACAAUCCGUAAUGAGUUGUUCAUAUUUUUCAUUUGA